RNAcentral lists this ribosomal RNA (253 nucleotides) under uncultured bacterium. RNAcentral's name for it is "partial 16S ribosomal RNA". It matches the Rfam family "Bacterial small subunit ribosomal RNA", at positions 524 to 776 of the family's 1533-position model. The record is from RNAcentral.
UACGGGGGGGGCAAGCGUUGUUCGGAAUUACUGGGCGUAAAGGGCUCGUAGGUGGCUUUUCAAGUCCGCCGUCAAAUCCCAGGGCUCAACCCUGGACAGGCGGUGGAAACUGCCAAGCUGGAGUACGGUAGGGGCAGAGGGAAUUUCCGGUGGAGCGGUGAAAUGCGUAGAGAUCGGAAAGAACACCAACGGCGAAAGCACUCUGCUGGGCCGACACUGACACUGAGAGACGAAAGCUAGGGGAGCGAAUGGG